Molecule: ribosomal RNA, 704 nt
Filed under: Corynebacterium striatum
Lineage: Bacteria; Bacillati; Actinomycetota; Actinomycetes; Mycobacteriales; Corynebacteriaceae
Description: bacterial SSU rRNA
Rfam family: Bacterial small subunit ribosomal RNA
Source: RNAcentral
GGCCUACCAAGGCGUCGACGGGUAGCCGGCCUGAGAGGGUGUACGGCCACAUUGGGACUGAGAUACGGCCCAGACUCCUACGGGAGGCAGCAGUGGGGAAUAUUGCACAAUGGGCGGAAGCCUGAUGCAGCGACGCCGCGUGGGGGAUGAAGGCCUUCGGGUUGUAAACUCCUUUCGACAGGGACGAAGCGUAAGUGACGGUACCUGUAUAAGAAGCACCGGCUAACUACGUGCCAGCAGCCGCGGUAAUACGUAGGGUGCGAGCGUUGUCCGGAAUUACUGGGCGUAAAGAGCUCGUAGGUGGUUUGUCGCGUCGUCUGUGAAAUUCCGGGGCUUAACUCCGGGCGUGCAGGCGAUACGGGCUGACUUGAGUGCUGUAGGGGAGACUGGAAUUCCUGGUGUAGCGGUGAAAUGCGCAGAUAUCAGGAGGAACACCGAUGGCGAAGGCAGGUCUCUGGGCAGUAACUGACGCUGAGGAGCGAAAGCAUGGGUAGCGAACAGGAUUAGAUACCCUGGUAGUCCAUGCCGUAAACGGUGGGCGCUAGGUGUAGGGGGCUUCCACGUCUUCUGUGCCGUAGCUAACGCAUUAAGCGCCCCGCCUGGGGAGUACGGCCGCAAGGCUAAAACUCAAAGGAAUUGACGGGGGCCCGCACAAGCGGCGGAGCAUGUGGAUUAAUUCGAUGCAACGCGAAGAACCUUACCUG